AAAAGGGGAGGGGAAACCUAACAUGCAAGUCGAGCGGUACACAGGGAGCUUGCUCCUGGGUGACGAGCGGCGGACCCGUGAGUAAUGUCUGGGAAACUGCCUGAUGGAGGGGGAUAACUACUGGAAACGGUAGCUAAUACCGCAUAACGUCGCAAGACCAAAGAGGGGGACCUUCGGGCCUCUUGCCAUCAGAUGUGCCCAGAUGGGAUUAGCUAGUAGGUGGGGUAACGGCUCACCUAGGCGACGAUCCCUAGCUGGUCUGAGAGGAUGACCAGCCACACUGGAACUGAGACACGGUCCAGACUCCUACGGGAGGCAGCAGUGGGGAAUAUUGCACAAUGGGCGCAAGCCUGAUGCAGCCAUGCCGCGUGUAUGAAGAAGGCCUUCGGGUUGUAAAGUACUUUCAGCGGGGAGGAAGGUGUUGAGGUUAAUAACCUCGGCAAUUGACGUUACCCGCAGAAGAAGCACCGGCUAACUCCGUGCCAGCAGCCGCGGUAAUACGGAGGGUGCAAGCGUUAAUCGGAAUUACUGGGCGUAAAGCGCACGCAGGCGGUCUGUCAAGUCGGAUGUGAAAUCCCCGGGCUCAACCUGGGAACUGCAUUCGAAACUGGCAGGCUAGAGUCUUGUAGAGGGGGGUAGAAUUCCAGGUGUAGCGGUGAAAUGCGUAGAGAUCUGGAGGAAUACCGGUGGCGAAGGCGGCCCCCUGGACAAAGACUGACGCUCAGGUGCGAAAGCGUGGGGAGCAAACGGGAUUAGAUACCCUGGUAGUCCACGCCGUAAACGAUGUCGACUUGGAGGUUGUGCCCUUGAGGCGUGGCUUCCGGAGAUAACACGCUAAGUCGACCGCCUGGGGAGUACUGCCGCGAGGGUAAAAACUCUAAUGAAAUUGACGGAGGGGCCCCACCAACCGGUGGAGGAUGUGGGUGUAUUUUAAUGCGACGCGAAGGAGUAGUACCUUCUCUUGUCGUGGACGAGCAGGAUUCCUUACAUGGAUUGGUUUCGUCCGCCAAC
This 1011-nucleotide ribosomal RNA is filed under the name Enterobacter sp. Its description in RNAcentral is "bacterial SSU rRNA". It matches the Rfam family "Bacterial small subunit ribosomal RNA", at positions 31 to 1027 of the family's 1533-position model. The record is from RNAcentral. Lineage: Bacteria; Pseudomonadati; Pseudomonadota; Gammaproteobacteria; Enterobacterales; Enterobacteriaceae.